UUAAGUUAUUAAGGGCGCACGGUGGAUGCCUUGGCACUAGAAGCCGAUGAAGGACGUUACUAACGACGAUAUGCUUUGGGGAGCUGUAAGUAAGCUUUGAUCCAGAGAUUUCCGAAUGGGGAAACCCAGCAUGAGUUAUGUCAUGUUAUCGAUAUGUGAAUACAUAGCAUAUCAGAAGGCACACCCGGAGAACUGAAACAUCUUAGUACCCGGAGGAAGAGAAAGAAAAUUCGAUUCCCUUAGUAGCGGCGAGCGAAACGGGAAGAGCCCAAACCAACAAGCUUGCUUGUUGGGGUUGUAGGACACUCUAUACGGAGUUACAAAGGACGACAUUAGACGAAUCAUCUGGAAAGAUGAAUCAAAGAAGGUAAUAAUCCUGUAGUCGAAAAUGUUGUCUCUCUUGAGUGGAUCCUGAGUACGACGGAGCACGUGAAAUUCCGUCGGAAUCUGGGAGGACCAUCUCCUAAGGCUAAAUACUCUCUAGUGACCGAUAGUGAACCAGUACCGUGAGGGAAAGGUGAAAAGCACCCCGGAAGGGGAGUGAAAUAGAACCUGAAACCGUGUGCUUACAAGUAGUCAGAGCCCGUUAAUGGGUGAUGGCGUGCCUUUUGUAGAAUGAACCGGCGAGUUACGAUUUGAUGCAAGGUUAAGCAGUAAAUGUGGAGCCGUAGCGAAAGCGAGUCUGAAUAGGGCGUUUAGUAUUUGGUCGUAGACCCGAAACCAGGUGAUCUACCCUUGGUCAGGUUGAAGUUCAGGUAACACUGAAUGGAGGACCGAACCGACUUACGUUGAAAAGUGAGCGGAUGAACUGAGGGUAGCGGAGAAAUUCCAAUCGAACCUGGAGAUAGCUGGUUCUCUCCGAAAUAGCUUUAGGGCUAGCCUCAAGUGAUGAUUAUUGGAGGUAGAGCACUGUUUGGACGAGGGGCCCCUCUCGGGUUACCGAAUUCAGACAAACUCCGAAUGCCAAUUAAUUUAACUUGGGAGUCAGAACAUGGGUGAUAAGGUCCGUGUUCGAAAGGGAAACAGCCCAGACCACCAGCUAAGGUCCCAAAAUAUAUGUUAAGUGGAAAAGGAUGUGGCGUUGCCCAGACAACUAGGAUGUUGGCUUAGAAGCAGCCAUCAUUUAAAGAGUGCGUAAUAGCUCACUAGUCGAGUGACACUGCGCCGAAAAUGUACCGGGGCUAAACAUAUUACCGAAGCUGUGGAUUGUCCUUUGGACAAUGGUAGGAGAGCGUUCUAAGGGCGUUGAAGCAUGAUCGUAAGGACAUGUGGAGCGCUUAGAAGUGAGAAUGCCGGUGUGAGUAGCGAAAGACGGGUGAGAAUCCCGUCCACCGAUUGACUAAGGUUUCCAGAGGAAGGCUCGUCCGCUCUGGGUUAGUCGGGUCCUAAGCUGAGGCCGACAGGCGUAGGCGAUGGAUAACAGGUUGAUAUUCCUGUACCACCUAUAAUCGUUUUAAUCGAUGGGGGGACGCAGUAGGAUAGGCGAAGCGUGCGAUUGGAUUGCACGUCUAAGCAGUAAGGCUGAGUAUUAGGCAAAUCCGGUACUCGUUAAGGCUGAGCUGUGAUGGGGAGAAGACAUUGUGUCUUCGAGUCGUUGAUUUCACACUGCCGAGAAAAGCCUCUAGAUAGAAAAUAGGUGCCCGUACCGCAAACCGACACAGGUAGUCAAGAUGAGAAUUCUAAGGUGAGCGAGCGAACUCUCGUUAAGGAACUCGGCAAAAUGACCCCGUAACUUCGGGAGAAGGGGUGCUCUUUAGGGUUAACGCCCAGAAGAGCCGCAGUGAAUAGGCCCAAGCGACUGUUUAUCAAAAACACAGGUCUCUGCUAAACCGUAAGGUGAUGUAUAGGGGCUGACGCCUGCCCGGUGCUGGAAGGUUAAGAGGAGUGGUUAGCUUCUGCGAAGCUACGAAUCGAAGCCCCAGUAAACGGCGGCCGUAACUAUAACGGUCCUAAGGUAGCGAAAUUCCUUGUCGGGUAAGUUCCGACCCGCACGAAAGGCGUAACGAUUUGGGCACUGUCUCAACGAGAGACUCGGUGAAAUCAUAGUACCUGUGAAGAUGCAGGUUACCCGCGACAGGACGGAAAGACCCCGUGGAGCUUUACUGUAGCCUGAUAUUGAAAUUCGGCACAGCUUGUACAGGAUAGGUAGGAGCCUUUGAAACGUGAGCGCUAGCUUACGUGGAGGCGCUGGUGGGAUACUACCCUAGCUGUGUUGGCUUUCUAACCCGCACCACUUAUCGUGGUGGGAGACAGUGUCAGGCGGGCAGUUUGACUGGGGCGGUCGCCUCCUAAAAGGUAACGGAGGCGCUCAAAGGUUCCCUCAGAAUGGUUGGAAAUCAUUCAUAGAGUGUAAAGGCAUAAGGGAGCUUGACUGCGAGACCUACAAGUCGAGCAGGGUCGAAAGACGGACUUAGUGAUCCGGUGGUUCCGCAUGGAAGGGCCAUCGCUCAACGGAUAAAAGCUACCCCGGGGAUAACAGGCUUAUCUCCCCCAAGAGUUCACAUCGACGGGGAGGUUUGGCACCUCGAUGUCGGCUCAUCGCAUCCUGGGGCUGUAGUCGGUCCCAAGGGUUGGGCUGUUCGCCCAUUAAAGCGGUACGCGAGCUGGGUUCAGAACGUCGUGAGACAGUUCGGUCCCUAUCCGUCGUGGGCGUAGGAAAUUUGAGAGGAGCUGUCCUUAGCACGAGAGGACCGGGAUGGACAUACCUCUGGUGUACCAGUUGUCGUGCCAACGGCAUAGCUGGGUAGCUAUGUGUGGACGGGAUAAGUGCUGAAAG
Molecule: ribosomal RNA, 2776 nt
Filed under: Staphylococcus aureus VET0301R
Lineage: Bacteria; Bacillati; Bacillota; Bacilli; Caryophanales; Staphylococcaceae
Description: bacterial LSU rRNA
Rfam family: Bacterial large subunit ribosomal RNA
Source: RNAcentral